Molecule: long non-coding RNA, 222 nt
Filed under: Homo sapiens (human)
Lineage: Eukaryota; Metazoa; Chordata; Mammalia; Primates; Hominidae
Description: HSALNT0199626
Source: RNAcentral
CAAUGGUGUUUUUGCAUUUAGGCUAAAGAUCUUUAGAGGUUGAGCAGUCUGCGAUUCAUUUAUGAUCUAGAUGCUGCUUCUAAUUUAUAAAGCAAUAAAUGUUCAAAUAAUACUAACUUGUUGAUUGAAUGCAUGGGUUCAGAUAUUCUCUGUCUGUAUUAUUUGAUAAUGUCAUUGACUUAAAAUAGCCAGUGAGGUAAGAAUUUACUUCUUAGGAGUAAG